This is a long non-coding RNA of Oxyura jamaicensis (ruddy duck), 1391 nucleotides long. RefSeq lists it as uncharacterized. NCBI's taxonomy places the organism in Eukaryota, Metazoa, Chordata, Aves, Anseriformes, Anatidae. The record is from RefSeq and is a predicted model, not a curated record. The transcript has 3 exons.
GCUACAGCUCGCAGAGUAGUUGCUGUAAGCUGAUGAUUUGCAGCAAUGGUAAUAAUGAUGAAAAAGGUUGGGAAAGAUACAGGAGCUGUGUUAUCUUUACUAACAGCAAGACAGGGGCUUGCCAAAGGGAUAAGUGCUGGAGACAGGAUAAGAACUGAAAUUCUGGGAACCAGGCAUGGCUUUUCACUGGGAUUUACAGCUGAUGUUUGUGCCUCUCCUAAAAAUGCAGAAGUUUAUUUAUCUUAUAAAUAGAAGUAAGGAGGAAAGAUUUGAAAGGAACCCCCUCCUUCCUUCCCUAGCUCAUGCCAAUGUAGUUAAUAUACUGAAAACUAGAAAUUUUGAGUUGCACAUGAAAGAGUUGUAUGCUAUAGCUAAGUUUAUCCCACAAGCUCAUGUUAGGAAAUCUGAUCAAUACAAUCAGGGCUGGUGUUGUCUCCUUGAAGAAAUCUUCGGUGUAUCUUCUUUCUGCUUAGUGCCUAUGAGCAAAACCCUGUUGCUGUCUUGGGAGCAUUAGCAGGAGGGAUAAAUUAGGCUGUUGACUUCAUAUAGUUGAUUAAUGUUUUCUUUUAAGACUCACAAAGAAUCUAAGUAAAGAACCGUGGAGGCUGUGACAGAUGCUGUCAAGUGAGGACUACUACCCUUCGUGCAAAUGGCCACCUUCAGACGGAGACAAACAAACCAAGGCUAGUGCUGACCAUUAGCUGGGUGGGAUUGUCUUGUAGCAAUAUACUGUAUCCUUUACAUUGUGAUUGAUAUCUGUAGUGCUUUUGUAUUUGAUACUGCUUUUGAAGUUUCUACAACUAUUUGGACAGCUAGGGUAAGAUGCAUUUAUUUAUCUGAUUUCUCUUUGCUUCGUGCCAUCUCAGCUGAAAAAAGGUUAACACAUAUUUGGCAUCUUGGUCACAUUCUUUCCAGGUGUUUGUUUGGUCAUUUAUUUCUUUUGUUUUUCCCUUUGAAUCCACUCUUGAUUCCAUGUUUGAAAUAUCCUUACUGGGCAUUAGCAAGGUGACCAUGUGAGAUUAAAACAAAUGGACAAGGAAAGCAAAUAUUCUACAGGAGAACAGUCCUCGGUAUAUGGUUUUUGAGGACAUACACCCACAGCAGGCAAACAACACGUGAGUUAAACAGUCACUUGUUAAUGAACUAGGACACUGUUCAUCGUUAGGUACUGACCUGCCUCCUGUGUUCAGGGAUCAUCACAAACCAGUGAGUCUGACAUUGUCAGGUUCAGACUCCCGAAUGCCUCAGAUCUCUGGGACAUCAGGACGCAGACGUGGUGCUUCAGGCCUGGUCGCUGCAGCUGUAGAUGGAUUUAUGGCUCGUGUGCAGCAUCCCAGUGCUGACAGUUCCCUGUCCUGGGGCUAGAGGGAGAGCAACAACUGCUGAGUGUG